This 1342-nucleotide long non-coding RNA is filed under the name Callithrix jacchus (white-tufted-ear marmoset). Its description in RNAcentral is "lncRNA (ENSCJAG00000073887.1)". Lineage: Eukaryota; Metazoa; Chordata; Mammalia; Primates; Cebidae. The record is from RNAcentral.
AUGGAAUUUUCUUUAAAAUUCUGGCAUUUUGUGCAACAUGAGUUUUGGUGCUCCAUUUUCUUGGAGAAUUUUCAUUUUUUCUGUAUCCUCAAAAGUCUUCUGGAAGAAAUGAAAUCCAAACUGAUCAUUGUAAACUGCACAAGCAUGGUGGAGAAGGGACACUAAAACAUCAUUUGGUCAAGUAGUUAGGGGUUGAUAAGCUGAAGUCUCACCAUAUGUUGACAUUGUUAAGAGAUGGCCAACACAAAUGAAAAACCAAGCAUGUAUAGCGUCUAGGAAAAAGAGAUGACGAUCUUUCACUCUCCUCAGCUCAGAUCUCAGCAGGAACUUUGGGCUUCACCUGGGUGCCAUUUAGAACAGUGAGGAAUUGGAACACAUCUGAGUGAGGGUAAGCAGAAUGUAAAACCCUAGAAACUGGCAUGGUGUGGAACAGGGGAAGGUCCAUCAUACUCAGACAGCCAUUUGUAAAGGAUGUUACUGCUCAGACCCAUGCUUAGUAGAGAGUUGCACUAAGUGACCUCUAUGAUGCUUGUAAAUUCUAAAAUUCUAAGACUUUGGAAUUAUUGAUUGAAUAGUAUUUUCUUCACUCUCCCUUCUGUCGAAUAGUUUGCCUUGAAGAGAAAACACAGUAGCAAAAAUGUCCAAAUCAUAUUUUUUAAGGUAUAUUCAUUCCUACAAAGUUGUCCAACUGGAGGGUAGGAUAAGAAAAACACAGUAAGUGUCCAGAAUUUACUGGUUACAGAAUUGCUAACUGUAGAGGACUAUUUCUAUUUGUUUGGUUAUUUUUUUUCUAGGAAGGAAAAUUUUAUAUUUCCAAGGUGUUUCAAAAAAGAAAGAACAAUAUAUCACUCAACUUCUCUUCUCCUUUAUUCCAUCAUAAUAAUAAAGAACUAACCCCUAAUUCAAAGAAUAUUGUGUGGAUGAUGCACUUUUUCAACAUUCUACAAUUCAAAAAGAUGUUGAUAUCAACAUUUUAAAUGCAGAAAAGCUGAGAACUGCCAAAACAAAAACACAACAAAAAUAAACAAACAAAAAUUUCUCCAUGGCAUCUUUCUCAGCUUGGGAAAUGUUUUUGCACAUCUACUAUUAAAUAAUUGCUCCUGAUAAUAUGGUAUUCUGGUUAUAUUCAGUGAGUUUGUUUGUUUUCCAGAGUUAACAAUCAUGUCUUUAUCUUUAAUCUUACAUAGCUCAAACGAAUGAGAAAUUCCUGUUUCUAUAGGUCUUCAGUGAUGCUCCACCAAUCCCAAAUGUUGGAAAAAACUCUUUAUAACGAGUGAGCCAAAUCACUCGUGCUUUUGUUUGAACCCAUGUUCUCCUUCUGAAUUCUCAUCAAAGACGGUGA